UUCAAAGUGUUAGCCUAUUUCAUUACAAACUCAAAUAGGGGACACUUUGAUCUAAAAAAAAAAAAAAAGUGUUUUAGAUCUGUGCUAAUUAGCAGCUAUCCUUAAAUAUUUUUACAAUAAAUUUGAUGAAAAAAAUGUUAUAAUCUGUCAUGCUUACUGUAUGCUUAAAAUGAGAAGAUCAUACAUGAAGAUGAUAUGAUAUGACAUAUUAUUCAUGAAUCAUUGUAUUGGACAUACUGAAACAAAAAAAUUAGAAACAUGAAAGUGAAAACACAACAAAUACAGUCUAAAGCAACUGGUUUAAAAAAACAAACAAACAAACAAAAAACAAACAAACAAAAAAAAACACAGAAAUGAGAUAUUGCUAUGAUCAUGAAUGAUUGUUUUCAAAGCACAACUUCCAUUUAAAAAUAAAAGGAAUGGAGAAAGUAAUCAAAUUCUAUAUAAUUUUAUUUAAAUGUUUUGUUUUGGUUUUAAAUCAAUCUUUUUUUUUUUUCUUUUUCUUUUUUUUUUUGCCAGUAGCAAAACAUUUUUGGUAGGUUCUCAUUGUAAGGACCCAUGUGCCUGCUGAUACAAAGGUCUUCCGAAGUGCAACAGGCCCUUGAAGGGAAUUGCCUGCCCUCCAGCUCCACCCUGCAGCCAGUAUAUAAGUAAGGAAGGUGACCCAGGGCAAUUGAUGAAAGUCUGAGCUACUGCAGGAGGCACUUUGGAAUAAUGAGUUGCUGCACUACAAAGACUGCUCAGCUGUAUGGAGGCAACUAUCAAGGCAAAGGGAAGGAUGGCAACAGCAUCAGAAGUGAGAGCAGAACAAGAAGGAAAACAAGUAAACAUCCUUCAAUGAAAACCCACUGUCCUUCCAGGAUCAGUGACAUCCCAGGGACUGUUAGACUUGCAUGUUCAUAUGCCUAGAGCUGGACUGUGGGAUAUGGAUGUUGAUUAAAACUCCUUUCUGUGUCUACUCACCCCAGGUGUCCAAACCAGCUUGAGGUUGCUCCAGCUGUAUCUGUUAGAGGAGAGCUGGGAGUUGUGAGUCUGCAGGAAAGACUUCAGCUGUUGGACAUGGACAGUCCCUGAGUGCCUCUUGGGGGAGAGUUCAAAGCAGCUUGAGUUCAUCAGAAGCUUAAAUAGCAUAGAAAAUCUUUCAAAACAGCAUUGUACCCCAGCAUUGUUGGAGGGACAUUGCUUUGGGAGGUGUUUAGCUGCUGUGGCAUUAGUGAAGUUCUGUCUUGAGUGGGACAGCCUUGUACCUCUUUUUUGCCCAGCAGAGAUAAAACAGCUUAAGUGUAUCAGGUGGGGCUAAUGCUCUAGGAGCCCAAUGAGAAAAUGGCUUGAAUGGAAAGAAUAGCUGUUUUCAAGAUCUGCAGGAUUUCACUCAGAAACCCUGCUAUGUUUUAGAGAUGGUCCUGUUGCUGUUCAUCCUUUGUAGCUUUUCAAAUAUCUGGUAGGAAGUCAGUGGCAAUUCUCAUGUUGAUUCUAGUGGGGCUUUAUCUCAACAUUUAUUUACCAUCUCUUUCUUCUAAAGCAGCUUAACACAGAUUAUCAAAUACGACUGCUAUUUCAUCACACCCUUAGACCACCACAUCUAGAUUGUUCAAGAUCUGAGGGACACCAUACAGGAAAUACAAGGUUUCACUUAUUGCAGUCUCCACCAGCCUUGAAGAUGACACUUCCUUGUCCACAAUAAUAGAAUAUUGACUGUGUGGUUUUGCCAGUUUUGGCCUGUUUUUUUUUUUUUUUUUUUUUUUUUUUUUCUGCUGAAUACAGCAAUUUUAGUUAUUAUCAAUCAUGAAACAUGUAGGUUCUCAAAAUGAGAGGAUAAAACAUGCACUGGCUCUAAUGUUUGUCUGUCCAGACAGCAUAGUUGGCUUCAUGAAGGUUCCUGUGAUUUCUUUAUAAUUUCACGUAUUUA
Molecule: long non-coding RNA, 1909 nt
Filed under: Anas platyrhynchos platyrhynchos (common mallard)
Lineage: Eukaryota; Metazoa; Chordata; Aves; Anseriformes; Anatidae
Description: lncRNA (ENSAPLG00000031243.1)
Source: RNAcentral